This 445-nucleotide long non-coding RNA is filed under the name Lathyrus oleraceus (garden pea). RNAcentral describes it as "Pisum sativum (pea) long non-coding RNA (PSAT_LNC030264)". Lineage: Eukaryota; Viridiplantae; Streptophyta; Magnoliopsida; Fabales; Fabaceae. The record is from RNAcentral.
CAUUUUAUUCUUUCCAUUUUCUUUUCCAUUAUUCAUCUCUUUCUUCUUCUUCUUUUUCUUUUUUGAGCAAUGAGUUGAAGGUUGAUAAGUUAGCAUUGAUUAGGGAGACUUAAUCUUCCUUGAUCCAAAUCUAAUUCAUCUUGAUCAAUUGAUCAAGUGAAUGGCUUUGCAUUAAGGAUAGGUUGUUUCCUAAAUAUAGGGAGACUUAAUCUUCCUUGAUCCAAAUCUAAUUCAUCUUGAUCAAUUGAUCAAGUGAAUGGCUUUGCAUUAAGGAUAGGUUGUUUCCUAAAUCAUGCAAAAGACUUAAACCAAUACAAGAUCAACUCUCUUCUUCUUUUUGGCAUGGCAAGUUGUUGGAACUUGGUUCACUAAUCAAGACUUCUAACUUGUGUUGUUGCCUAUAUUAUUAUUGAACGGCCUCAGAUAGUUGUGACUUCUACAUAAG